Hyaena hyaena (striped hyena) is the source of this 398-nucleotide long non-coding RNA. RefSeq lists it as uncharacterized. NCBI's taxonomy places the organism in Eukaryota, Metazoa, Chordata, Mammalia, Carnivora, Hyaenidae. The transcript has 4 exons. The record is from RefSeq and is a predicted model, not a curated record.
GUCUAGCUGUAAAACAGACCCUGGGCUCUCACUGUAUUCAGCCCAAUUAUUGUCUGCUGUGCUCCAGGCAUGGUUGUACAGAAGUGAAGAAGAUACUCCCUUAUCAAGCUAUAACAGCUGUGAGUUGUCAGCCAGCACUCAAGGCACGUAUAAGGCCUCCCCGUGAAAUCAGCCUCCUGCAUGGCUCUCUAAGAAGGAGUCAGACCCAACUCCAGGAAAGCUCACAGCCUAAAGGGGAGCAAGCAGGUAGCAUCACCUCCUGGGAAAGUUUUUCUUGAACAGUCUUAUUAAGUGGCAGGAGGAAAUAAUGCUGCUUCUUGGGAUAGGUGAUACGUCUACUGAUUCCAGUUUUUUCGAGCCUAAGAUUCAGCCUUUGGGCAUCCAAAUGGAAGACAGAG